Peromyscus eremicus (cactus mouse) is the source of this 613-nucleotide long non-coding RNA. RefSeq lists it as uncharacterized. The record is from RefSeq and is a predicted model, not a curated record. The transcript is spliced from 4 exons. Lineage: Eukaryota; Metazoa; Chordata; Mammalia; Rodentia; Cricetidae.
GAUGAGCUCAACCGUUUCUCUCCGUGGGGCUGAAAAUUCCUAUGACUCUAGUGACGUAGUUGAUUCUUUUGGCAAUCAGGCAUUUUCCUGCUGUGAGGGGGUUUUCAGCCACUGGUCAUCUCAUUAACUCACACUUCAGCAGCCUAGCCCAUCCCAGUGCUCAAUGCUUCCAUACCUAAGAUGGAAAUCACCUCGCCUACCUUUGAUGUCUGCACUAACUUCUGGAGAGGGCAUCUCAGGAGCUUAGUUGGGAAGCAAGUUGCCUUUGGCCCGCAGAGUCCAUGCUUUUCCAACCUUGUUCUGUAGCCAGCUGGUACCAUCCAUUCUUCAUUGUGAAUGAAUCCAAGAAAUUCAACAGGCAUGGAGUCUCCAGAUUGGUCAAAUAAGACAGUCAAUCAUGAUGAAAUAAAUUCCUACUGAAAUCUGUUUCCGUUAAGUUGGAGGAUAUGGAAUGUGAAGACACAGACUCCACGCCACAAGAGUUUUGGAAAUUAAAUAAUACAAGACAGGGCCACAUUCCCGGUAUUUCAUUCAAAAGGCAGAAGAAGAUACCACUUAACAAGGCAGAUGACAUCCAUCUUGCCCUUCUAACUCUUCUCUCUGCUUCAACACA